Eupeodes corollae is the source of this 3409-nucleotide long non-coding RNA. RefSeq lists it as uncharacterized. The transcript is spliced from 3 exons. The record is from RefSeq and is a predicted model, not a curated record. NCBI's taxonomy places the organism in Eukaryota, Metazoa, Arthropoda, Insecta, Diptera, Syrphidae.
AAUUCAGACAAGCUAAAUGCAUUAAAAUAUUCGGCCCGAGAUUUUGUUUAAUUCAACACUACUUUGACUAUCGAACACGAUCUAUUUCCGCUUAUUUUUUUGUUUUGUUCGGGGGUGGGGACACGUCCGUACGCAACAACUAUUAAGAGAGUCAUACAGCCCAAUUGGAGAGAGAAAAGAACUAAUCGAGAUAACCAAAUUAGACGGUUGCUUUCUUUUUGCCUACAAGCUGUGAUUUGCACACCAACUUGCAUAUGUAUUAACUCCAUAUAAAAAAAUGUGGGGAACAAACACUUAUGCAUGAAGAUGUGCAUACUCACCACCUUUGAAAAAUGGCGGAUGUAGUCAGCUAUUCAGAGGUGUUCAAAGAAAAUUCAAACUUGUGGAUGAACAUUUUUUUCGCACUCUCAUUGUGUUCGAUUGAGGGUAAUAUCAUUCGAAUAUAAAAUUAAAUAAAUUUCUGUUGUUAGGUGCCAGAACAAAGAAGAUUCAGAAACAAUUCUAAACUACGCAUUUAGAAAAAAAUUAGUUAGUUAUUUAAAGCCAGUUUUAAUCAUUAAAGUUUAAAGACUUAAUUUUGUCGAUACGAGAGUUGCAGGAACAUUGAAAACGAGAGUUACAAAAUGUAGACAUGGAUCAUAAAAAUAACUCAACUUGUCAACUUGUUACUUCUGUUGCCAAUUUUCAUUGCAUAAGAUUCGUGAAUUUUUUAAAGGCUUAACUACAUAAGCCGAAAAGUACUUUUGUGCAAAAAUAAAAAUAUUUGUAUUCUCGCUAGGUCAUUGGUUUUGUAAAAGGAAAAUACAAAUUUGUUCUUCAACCAAAAUUUAAGUCUAAUGCAUCAUUUUUCUAAGUUUUCCAGUUUUAACUAUUUAUAUCUUACCUAUAUACAAAGCUACAAGGAAAAAUCUGUGAGGGAAAGUUCUAACUACAGUUCUUCUGAAAGUGCAUUCUGGCUUAUUCGUAGAUGUUUGCUAGACUUUUUAGGCUAUUCAUAAAUAAAUGCAAAUUAAUUUUAAGGGCUUAACCUAAAUAACUAUAAACAUAGAAAAUGCUGUGUGCAAGCAAUUACUAUCGCAAAAGCUUAAAAAGAAAUUCAUGACAAAUAAAAGUUACGUUAACACUAAGUGCCAAAAAAUAUCGAUUGAUACUGUAAUUGCAGAAGAUAUGGAUAUUUCAUAUAAAUAUUUCCGGUAAAUUGUACAACUUUAUUAUUACCGCUUUUCAUAAUAAAUUCAAUACAAAAUAAUUCAAUGCAGUAUAUUUUAAAUAAUAAAGUAGUUAAGUUAUUAGUUAAGGUAUUACUAUUAAAAUAAACAUAACAUACAUUUAUAAAAAAACAUGUACUCGUUCAUAUAUACAAAUAAAGUCUAAUCGAAGAAUCCUUAACCUUGUUACACUCUUUGUGAACACAUCUUUUCUUGUUUUGGUUGUUAAUGCCAUCUAUCUGUAACUCAGAGAAAGCGAAGUGAAAACAAAUUCACCACGAUCUACCGUUAUAACGUUCACCGUAUUUUAUUGACAAACGAAAUUUUUUUUGUUAGAAUUAAUUUGUGAAAACCAGAAAGGGAAAGAAAUGUCAAAUGUCUCAAUCUCUCAACUGAAGUUUUUUCUCUCUCUGCUCUCCGAGGUAAAAAUAUAUAUUCACCGAUACGAAUUCAACACGCUAUAAAAAAUGAGAGUAAGAGGUUUCUCUCUCUCUCGAUUAGUUGUAUCUAUUCUGCUAUUCACGUGGAUCUUAUAUUCGAUUCACCCGUUCGAUUCCCUUUCACACUAACUUUGCUAUUGACAUACUAUGCAUGGACUGCUAGUAGCGCAAAGCGCAAAGAGGGCUAUGCAGAAAAAUUGUGUAACAUUUAUGACACUUGACAUUGGAGUUUCUUUCUUUUUUUCACAUGUUUGUUUAUUUUGUGUUGUGAUUUGUAAAAACAAGUUGAGUAGAGUAAAUAAAUACAAUAAAAAGAAAAAAAAUAGUAAUUUAAAUAAUUGAAACAAAUGAAAAAAUGUUUAAUUCUGGGAUGCAUUUCGCAUCAAUUGAACAGAUAUGUGUCUUUGUUCUUGUCAGUAUAUUUUUAAAGAUCUUAUGAUUCCUAGCUAAAAUCAUGUUUUUACUAUUAUAUAACCUGGUUCUUAAAGGCGUAGUCAGUGAAGACUGGAGAAGCUAUUGAAUCUCUUAAUAGCCAGGUGAUAGAUUCAAGUCGACUGCUCCAGAAAUUUUUCAUCUGUGAUCUUCACUUCGAUAAAAAAUGUAUUAAGACGCUUGGGACUAACAAACGUCUCACAGAGGAUGCAGUUCCAAUUCUUCAAGAUCAUGAACUUGAUGUUUUUUUUGUAUUUAUUUAUUUAUCAAAAAUAAUUUUCAAAAUAAAUGUAUAAAUAAUUGAAAAAGAAGGCAAGACUAUUUUAUGCCGUUAAUAGAAAAAUAUAGAGAUAAAUAAGUUUUGAAAUUUCUUCAUAUUUGUUGUGCUCCGAUGUGCGUUCUUUAACAUUAACGAACGGAAAAUGAAUCCCUUCCUAAGGUGCCACCUCGUUACCUUCUAUACCGACAUCACUCGGAAUCCAGGCUGGAACAAUGUUGCGCUGUUUUAUAAAACACUCCGAAUAUAGUUAAGGGUUGUACAAGGAGUGUACAUAGGAUCCAUCCGGGUACAAGCAUACCACCUGUUUGUAGCCGUAAACGGAGGUUUGAGGAAGAGACGGUUACACCCAGAACGUUGAAACGAAAAUGUUUAAGACAUCAAGGCGCAAGCUAAAGUGGAAAGAGAUUAAAAUUAAAUCUUUAGAAUCCUUGCUUGACGAACUUUAAAAUAGAAAUCUCGUUUCGGAGAACUGUUCGCAGAUCCUUCAGGUAUUUGACCAAACAAAUUUAGAUUUUUAUUGCAAUAUUUUUUUAAUUAAAUAUUUUCUAUAUAUAUAUACAUAUAUAUAUACCUGCAUUUUUCAUACAUUAUAUUCGGAAGAAAUUCCACUUAACCGUACUGCACAAAUCAGGAUCGAACAAUUAAAUGUUUUUGUUUAGUGAACCGAGGAGAACGAAUGAACCAGGCUUGUUAAGUAAAUUAGAUCGGUUUGGUUUUGUUUGAAGUUAACUUUGAAAUUUAAUUUUAGUUUCUUCUUUAAAAAAAAGUACAUAAAUACUUCUUUACUUAAAAGUGAGUUUUAUUAUAAGAAUUAACACUGAAUAAACAAAAGAUUACAAAAUAACAUUUUCAUUUCGUAAUGAAUUGAACUGAACUGAUUGCAUUUUCCUUUUUGCUGCUCGGCCAUUUUGCACUAGUUUCAAUCCUUUUUUCUAGUAUUAAGAAGUAAUAAGUUAAAACGAAUACAAAAAUAAAUAAAACUUAAAUGUUUAAGUUUCUUAUUACAGAAUGAAAACGAAGAAGAAGUUUUCUUUGCAGGUCUAUGUUUU